AAAAGCCAUGUUGGAUCAGACCAACAGAGCAGUCUGAGUAUGGCCACACAGAUGGCAACAGGAAGCCCACAACCAAGACAGGAAGAAGAUCCUGUGAUUUGGCCAUUAUACUCUGCUGUCUCCAUUUUCAGGAUGUAAGGGAUGAUGCUGUCAAUUGGAACAUUUCCAAUGAGCCCAGUAAAAAACAGUUCUUCUGUAAUGCUAGAACUCAUCAGUCUAAGUGCUGGCAGGCGAACAAGAAUCCGCGCUAACCUGAAAUAAGAAAGUGUGUGAGAAUAUUUGCUAAGAAAGGGCUCAUGAAGAGGCAGCUGCCUUGAUAAUAGUGGAUACCAAUAGUGGAUAAAGAUCUAAGCAAGAUUUUCAAAAAAUGCCCUUGGAAACAGAAAAGAAAGCUUAACGGAUUUACGCUCUUAUGUGUUGUCAGGUUUGGCAGUUUGAACCGUUUUCCAAAUAAAAUAUAGUAUAUAAUGGC
Molecule: long non-coding RNA, 472 nt
Organism: Sceloporus undulatus (fence lizard)
Lineage: Eukaryota; Metazoa; Chordata; Lepidosauria; Squamata; Phrynosomatidae
Exons: 3
Source: RefSeq, a predicted model, not a curated record